CCUACGGGAGGCAGCAGUGGGGAAUAUUGGACAAUGGGCGAAAGCCUGAUCCAGCAAUGCCGCGUGAGUGAUGAAGGCCUUAGGGUUGUAAAGCUCUUUUACCAGGGAUGAUAAUGACAGUACCUGGAGAAUAAGCUCCGGCUAACUCCGUGCCAGCAGCCGCGGUAAUACGGAGGGAGCUAGCGUUGUUCGGAAUUACUGGGCGUAAAGCGUGCGUAGGCGGCGAUUCAAGUCAGAGGUGAAAGCCUGGAGCUCAACUCCAGAACUGCCUUUGAAACUAGAUUGCUAGAAUCAUGGAGAGGUGAGUGGAAUUCCGAGUGUAGAGGUGAAAUUCGUAGAUAUUCGGAAGAACACCAGUGGCGAAGGCGGCUCACUGGACAUGUAUUGACGCUGAGGCACGAAAGCGUGGGGAGCAAACAGGAUUAGAUACCCUGGUAGUCCACGCCGUAAACGAUGAUAACUAGCUGCCAGGGCUCAUAGAGCUUUGGUGGCGCAGCUAACGCAUUAAGUUAUCCGCCUGGGGAGUACGGUCGCAAGAUUAAAACUCAAAAUGAAUUGACGG
Molecule: ribosomal RNA, 562 nt
Filed under: uncultured bacterium
Lineage: Bacteria
Description: bacterial SSU rRNA
Rfam family: Bacterial small subunit ribosomal RNA
Source: RNAcentral